UCACAUGAUGAUAAAAUAUUAACGCAUCCUGCAGUUUCACAUUUAUAGUAUUUAAUAUUUUUACAUGUAUGUAUAGACAGUUAUAUUUUUAAUUUUCUUACACAUGUGUAAAGUCUCCAAUGGUAAAUUACAUUUGACUGUACACAAAAUUUCAACUACUACAGCUUAAUAGGAACAUUGUACUUUACCGAAACAAAAAUAGGAUGAAAUAGUUCAUGAUGGGAAUACGUAAAUAUUGUAUGGCAUUGUACAGUAUCAAUCAUGGUGAAUCUGAAUCACGAACAUUGCCAAAACUGGAGUUCUCUUCUCCCCCGAAAUUAACAAAAAACAUAAAAAUACAACACUUCUCACUCAUAUUUCCAAACUACUUUCAUAAGGCGCAGAGAGCUGCUCCAGUGAGAAAACACACAAAAAGCUUCUACAAUCCUAGGAGAUCAGCGAAACAUGAGAAAUACUCAAGUAACAAUGAAUGAUGGACUGAAAUGCAAACUGUAGUUCUGCAAGUACGAACAUCUAUCCUCUUAGAUAAAUAUACAUCUAUCCUCUUAUACAGAUAAAUAUUUUUGCAAUCUAUCACUUUUUCCCUGAAGCCAAGAAUCGAAACACUAUGAGGUAUUUCUGAACUGACACAUACAUGUUAGCAAAGCCAUGACUGCAUGUGAAAGCAUAUAUCUGUAGUUCUUAAUUAGCGGCAAGUAUGCACUGCAAAUUGGAAUAAUUUCAGGCAUUGAAUUAAAAAAAGAAAUUGAAUUGUUAACAGAAAACAUAUUGCCUAUGUUGAUCGCCUUUUUUUGCUGUGGUCAUGCUCUAUAAACUUUGAAUAUCACACAUAAUUUGUAUUCUAUCUCAAACAAAAUUGAACAAAAGGUUUAUAGCUCAUUCCUAUAACAAACCCGACUGCCAUACAGAAUAAAAGUCUACAGCAAAUUUUGUGAAAAAAGCUAGAAAGUAGAAAUCUUACAUCUUUUUCAAAGCUCUGGCGUUUAUUGGCUUGGAGCUCCUGAACCUGCUUUUCAAUACAGUGCAAGUCAAAUCUCAGCCUCUUGUCAUAGUCAUAGUAUGAUCUCCCCUAAAAUCCUCCUCACAGGCCUCCAUCUCGAAACCUUCAUGGGCUAGAGAAAAAGAUAAUAAAACAUGCCAAACAGAUUGAGAAAAGUGACAUAAUAAGUAUCUAUUGGAAAGAUCGAGCCUAGGAUUAUCUAUUUUUUGCUUCGUUGUGCAUUGCAUCUGCAGUUGCACAAAAAAUUGAUCAUUGCAUUCUUCUAAAUCCAGAAUGUCCAGUCUUUACAAUCUACUCCCUCUGUUCCUAAAUAUUUGUCUUUUUAGAGAUUUUUCAAAUGGACUACCACAUAGGGAUGUAUAUAGACAUAUUUUAGAGUGUAAAUUCACUCAUUUUGCUCCGUAUGUAGUCACUUGUUGAAAUCUCUAGAAAGACAAAUAUUUAGGAACGGAGGGAGUAGCUCAUUACAAUCAUCAUACAGGUAAGUUCAACAUUGAGAAAAGAAAGAAACAGAAAAGAAAAAAGAGGAAUAGGCAAAGAAGAAAUUGUUGCUAUACUUUUGCUAGAAGAUAACCCAGCCUAUAUGACUACGUCGAUCUAGGCAAAGAUCUUUACCCAACAUCCUUCUCUCUAAUUAUCAAAAAUUCAUGAUUGGAAUCAAAACCAAGCAAACUUUCAUAUUGAUCUGCCUACACUUUAUACUUUCAACACCAACUGUACAUUGCACAUUAUCCACAAUGCAAACUGAAAGAUAUGCAGUUCUUGUUUGAGAACCGAAGAGAUAUGCAUGCGUAUCAUAGUACUGAAAGGGGUAUAUAGAAAAGCUAGUGUCGUGGAAAAUCAGAACACAAAAUUCGAAUUAUUUGGUGUGCGAAUGGCGCUUACACAAUCUGAAUCUGAUGCCGCUCGGGCUCACUGUUGUAGAAGGUGCAACCGCUGCUGAACGGGAACAGCAACCCGGUAAAGAAGAAUUGAAUACUACAUAGAAGACAUCAUGGAGGGAAAUAUGAUGCACCCAAAAGGCCAAAACAAUACCAAUUUAACAAAUAGCAGAGUUUUGAAAGGCACUCACAUAC
This 2076-nucleotide long non-coding RNA is filed under the name Triticum aestivum (bread wheat). RNAcentral's name for it is "long non-coding RNA (TAES_LNC020351)". Lineage: Eukaryota; Viridiplantae; Streptophyta; Magnoliopsida; Poales; Poaceae. The record is from RNAcentral.